This 505-nucleotide long non-coding RNA is filed under the name Olea europaea subsp. europaea. The record is from RNAcentral. Lineage: Eukaryota; Viridiplantae; Streptophyta; Magnoliopsida; Lamiales; Oleaceae.
UUUUGCAAUUAAGCACCAUGAACCGUACAAUGAUGAAAUACAUUUUAGUAUUACUCUUAUACUUUGCUAACUUUCGUGAGACAAUAGCCUCACCACAAAAACUCAAAUGUAUUUUUACCGACAAAUACGAGGUUCAUAUUGUCAGCAAUCUUCCUCCAAAUACUCCGCCAAUGAAGCUACAUUGUGCAUCUGGAGAUGAUGAACUUGGAUACCACACACUUCAUACAAAUCAAGAUUUUAACUUUCACUUUUGUGAAAAAUUUUGGUAUACUUUGUUUUUCUGCCAUGCUUGGUGGGGUUCAAAGAACGUUGGCUUUAUUGCUUUCAAUUCAAAAUGGGUACGACACCCAUGUGAUGCAACCGGUUUGUGUUAUUGGUUUGUAAAAAAAGAUGGCAUCUUCUUUUCGAAUCACAGUCCUCCAGGAAAUGACUUGAUGCUAGUACGCAAGUGGCAUGGACGAUAAAUGAUUUCUUUCUCUCGAUUGUUCAAUAAAGAUGAUUCAUG